AGAGUUUGAUCAUGGCUCAGAAUCAACGCUGGCGGCGUGCCUAACACAUGCAAGUCGAACGAGAAAGCUGGUAGCAAUACUGGUGAGUAAAGUGGCGACCGGGUGAGUAACACGUGGACAACCUACCUUUGAGUGGGGAAUAACCCUGGGAAACCGGGGCUAAUACCGCAUAACAUUCCAUGACGAUGGUUGAGGAAUUGAAACCCGUAAGGGGCUCAUUGAGGGAUCCGCGGCUGAUUAGCUAGUUGGUGAGGUAACGGCCCACCAAGGCUUUGAUCGGUAGCCGGCCUGAGAGGGCGGACGGCCACACUGGAACUGAAACACGGUCCAGACUCCUACGGGAGGCAGCAGUGGGGAAUUUUGCGCAAUGGGGGAAACCCUGACGCAGCAACGCCGCGUGGAUGAUGAAGACCCUUGGGUUGUAAAAUCCUUUCGGCAGGGACGAAUUAAUUGACGGUACCUGAAGAAGAAGCCCCGGCUAACUCCGUGCCAGCAGCCGCGGUAAUACGGGGGGGGCGAGCGUUGUUCGGAAUUAUUGGGCGUAAAGGGCGCGUAGGCGGUGUGGUAAGUCUGUUGUGAAACCUCCAGGCUCAACUUGGAGCUUGCAUCAGAAACUGCCGUGCUAGAGUGUGGGAGAGGAGAGUGGAAUUCCUGGUGUAGCGGUGAAAUGCGUAGAUAUCAGGAGGAACACCGGUGGCGAAAGCGGCUCUCUGGACCACAACUGACGCUGAGGCGCGAAAGCUAGGGGAGCAAACAGGAUUAGAUACCCUAGUAGUCC
RNAcentral lists this ribosomal RNA (778 nucleotides) under uncultured bacterium. Its description in RNAcentral is "bacterial SSU rRNA". It matches the Rfam family "Bacterial small subunit ribosomal RNA", at positions 8 to 796 of the family's 1533-position model. The record is from RNAcentral.